UUCAUAUAUACUACAGUAUGGCCUGUAAAAUACUUUUGGUCGAACGAUGCUUGCCUACACACAYAYAYAYAYAYAYAUAURURUGUGUGUGUGGUGYGAUCCUCGUUCCAGAGAUAAUAACGAGAAUGAGAUAUUGCAACAUGUGCUUUGGGACCGCWUGCUAUUUCCCAUUGCACACGAAUGUCAUGACAAACUAACRUCGUUGUCACUGUGAAAUGUAUUUAGCGAGAAUUAUAAAUGCUUUUUCACAGGGCUAGUCYGACAACGGUACACAUACGCKCGUCUAUGUCAUUUGCAA
Molecule: unclassified non-coding RNA, 298 nt
Filed under: Hypodontus macropi
Lineage: Eukaryota; Metazoa; Nematoda; Chromadorea; Rhabditida; Strongylidae
Description: sequence contains ITS2
Source: RNAcentral